ACGUCAUAGCCGGGCCGGCUUCCUGGGCUGCGCUGCCGGGUUGUAGAGGGCGACCAUCCCGGUCGCUAGUGGUGUUAAGGGGUGAGGCUGUGGGAGGGGCAGCCUCAGCGGAAGCUGGGAGGACAGCGGGCGCGGAGGUGUCUCCGGGGAGGAAGGCCGGGCCCGAGAGGAGGCGCCUCAGGGAGAGGAGACGAAGCGGGAGUCCCGGGGACAUCCCCCACUCCGUCCCCGGUCGGGGAGCGGGUCGCGCCCGCACGGGCGAGCCCCAGAUGCCAGGUGCUCGAGGCCACCAGCUGCGGUGACCGACUUGUCCCGGCUGCCCGGGAUGUGCAGCUUUUAGCGCUGACGGGAUUGCAGACCCGCAGCCCACGGAGGUGGCCCUGUUCUGCUCUUGACGCUCCACCCAGAGUUGACCCGGGAGACUUCUUCCAAUUAGGCAUUUUAAACGCGAUUCUUUUUAAUAUUGGGGCGAAGGCGCCCCUCCUAACACCCUCCCGAGCAGGCCCUGAGAUGCCUGUCCUUGCGAGGUAAAGACUCCGGCGGGAGUCUCCCUUCCUAAAGGUGGGACGACGAGAGGAGGGCGCCGCUGGCUCGGCAUUUUGUGCGGUCGAAGUCGGAGUUCAGCGCGGCUGCGGGGCAGUGAGGAUGAGUCUGUGCUGGGAUCAGAGCCCCGACCGUAGAGACCUCAGUUUUGGAAUUUCUCGCACGCUCUGCACCCCCAGGAUUCGGAGAUGCAGUCAGAACAGCCAUUAGCUUAAAUGUUCCCAUCAAAGAGCCUCGUGAUGGAACAGCUGUUUGACCCAUUCAGACGCCAGGAGGACGGACGCUCUCCCUAAAAGCAGGACGUGAAUGGAAGGGACCUGCCAUUAUGCAAACAAUACGGCACUCGGAACAGACACUUAGGGCGGCUCUCAUCUCAAAGAACCCAGUGCUUGUGUCCCAGUAUGAGAAGUUUGAUGCUGCAGAGAGGCGUUUGAUGAAUGAAGCCUUCCAACCAGCCAGUAAUCUCUUUGGACCCAUUACCUUGCAUUCUCAAUCAGAUUGGAUCACCUCUCAUCCUGAGCCUCCCCAAGACUUUGAAGAGUUUUUCAAUAAUCCUUCCAGAAAGACACCCUCUGCAGAGAAACACAGCAUUUAUAUACAGUGCAUUGGAUCUCUAGGAAACACCAGAAGUAUCAGUGAAGAGUAUAUUAAAUGGCUCAAGGGCUACUGUGAAGCAUUUUUCUAUGGCUUGACAGUAAAAUUCCUAGAACCGGUUCCUGUCUCUGCAACAAAGUGUUCCUUUAGAGUCAAUGAUAACACACAAAACCUACAAAUACAUGCAGGGCACAUCCUGAAGUUCUUAAAAAAGAAGAAACCUGAAGACGCCUUCUGUGUUGUAGGAAUAACAAUGAUUGAUCUUUACCCGAGAGACUCCUGGAAUUUUGUCUUUGGACAGGCCUCUUUGACAGAUGGUGUGGGGAUAUUCAGCUUUGCCAGGUAUGGCAGUGAUUUCUACAGCUCAAGCUAUGCAGGCAAAGUGAAGGCGUUUCAGAGAAAAUCUUCCAGUGACUAUUCGGUUUUUGAUAACUAUUAUACUCCUGCAGUGACUAGUGUUUUGCUGCUUCGGUCCUGUAAGACUUUAACCCAUGAGAUUGGACACAUAUUUGGACUUCGACACUGCCAGUGGCUGGCAUGCCUAAUGCAAGGUUCCAACCACUUGGAAGAAGCUGACCGGCGCCCCCUACAUCUGUGCCCUAUCUGUUUACGCAAGUUGCAGUGUGCUAUUGGCUUCAACAUUAUAGAAAGAUACAAGGCGCUGGUGAGGUGGAUUGAUGAUGAAUCCACUGACACACCUCGGGUCACUCCAAAACAUAGUCGUGAGGAUAAUGUGAAUUUGCCAAAACCUGUGGAAGACUUUAAGGAGUGGAAAGAGUGGAUAAUAAAAUGCCUUGCUGUUGCCCAAAAAUAAGAACCUUCAUAUAGGUGUAACUAAAAUAAACACUUGCACAUUAUGCUUUCUUUUGGAUUGAGUACUUCAUUGGAAUAAACUGUUUACUGAUUCUGCCCUGUAUCAAAGUAACAGAAGCACCUUUAAAGCACUUGAACUUGAAAUGAAGCUCAUUUUCAAUGAUUAAAACUCUAGACUCUUUCAUCUUUGUGGCCUGGUCUGUGUCAGCAAGCACAUUUCUAUUCUUGAAAUAUGUUCAUGUCUUCUGUGAAAGCCAGGACCCUCAGUAACUAUGCUUACUUGAGUGUGGGAGAGAAUGUGAUGGGAUUACCUGCCGCUGUGCCAAGAAUGGCCAGAAUGGCCUGCUGGUUGUGAACAGCAGCUUCAUUUCUGUGGUGGGAAACAGGCUGAAAACCUCGGACAGGACAAACCGCCUCUGCCCAAUCAGUGUGUGCUGGUCACAGCGACGAGACCUUAGAGCAGAUCAUCGGACUGAGUGCUGGUGGGCAGAGGGCGUUUCCCGCUUUCCCAUCUUAGCCUUGAGGGUGAAACUUAAAGGUAAUUUUUGUUUUGAACUUUGAAACCAAUUUUUUUCUUUUCUUUAAGAUUUUAUUUGUUCAUUUUUAGAGAGGGGAAGAGAGGGAGAGAGAGGGAGAGAAACAU
Molecule: RNA transcript, 2593 nt
Organism: Pteronotus mesoamericanus
Lineage: Eukaryota; Metazoa; Chordata; Mammalia; Chiroptera; Mormoopidae
Gene: AMZ2
Gene name: archaelysin family metallopeptidase 2
Exons: 9
Source: RefSeq, a predicted model, not a curated record